This 420-nucleotide ribosomal RNA is filed under the name bacterium. RNAcentral's name for it is "partial 16S ribosomal RNA". It matches the Rfam family "Bacterial small subunit ribosomal RNA", at positions 355 to 776 of the family's 1533-position model. The record is from RNAcentral.
UGGGGGAUAUUGCACAAUGGGCGAAAGCCUGAUGCAGCGACGCCGCGUGGGGGAUGAAGGCUUUCGUGUUGUAAACCUCUUUCGCUAUCGAACAAGGCCCGCUUAGGGUGGGUUGAGGGUAGGUGGAGAAGAAGCGCCGGCUAACUACGUGCCAGCAGCCGCGGUAAUACGUAGGGCGCGAGCGUUGUCCGGAAUUAUUGGGCGUAAAGGGCUUGUAGGCGGCUUGUUGCGCCUGCUGUGAAAACGCGGGGCUUAACUUCGCGCGUGCAGUGGGUACGGGCAGGCUUGAGUGGGGUAGGGGUGACUGGAAUUCCAGGUGUAGCGGUGGAAUGCGCAGAUAUCUGGAGGAACACCGAUGGCGAAGGCAGGUCACUGGGCCAUUACUGACGCUGAGGAGCGAAAGCAUGGGUAGCGAACAGG